This 253-nucleotide ribosomal RNA is filed under the name uncultured bacterium. Its description in RNAcentral is "partial 16S ribosomal RNA". It matches the Rfam family "Bacterial small subunit ribosomal RNA", at positions 524 to 776 of the family's 1533-position model. The record is from RNAcentral.
GACGUAGGGCGCGAGCGUUGUCCGGAUUUAUUGGGCGUAAAGAGCUCGUAGGCGGCUUGUCGCGUCGUCCGUGAAAACCCACAGCUCAACUGUGGGCUUGCGGUCGAUACGGGCAGGCUAGAGUUCGGUAGGGGAGACUGGAAUUCCUGGUGUAGCGGUGAAAUGCGCAGAUAUCAGGAGGAACACCGGUGGCGAAGGCGGGUCUCUGGGCCGAUACUGACGCUGAGGAGCGAAAGCGUGGGUAGCAAACAGG